UGCAGUGACCAGGGAGGAGGGAGGAG
RNAcentral lists this non-coding RNA (26 nucleotides) under Mus musculus (house mouse). The record is from RNAcentral. Lineage: Eukaryota; Metazoa; Chordata; Mammalia; Rodentia; Muridae.